RNAcentral lists this ribosomal RNA (426 nucleotides) under uncultured bacterium. RNAcentral's name for it is "partial 16S ribosomal RNA". It matches the Rfam family "Bacterial small subunit ribosomal RNA", at positions 354 to 796 of the family's 1533-position model. The record is from RNAcentral.
GUGGGGAAUAUUGCGCAAUGGGGGAAACCCUGACGCAGCAACGCCGCGUGAGUGAUGAAGGCUUUCGAGUCGUAAAACUCUGUCUUUGGGGACGAAUAAUGACGGUACCCAAGGAGGAAGCCCCGGCUAAAUACGUGCCAGCAGCCGCGGCAAUAUGUAUGGGGCAAGCGGCGUCCGGAAUCACUGGGCGUAAAGGGCGCGUAGGCGGUUUGUUAAGUCAGGUGUGAAAGUUUUAAGCUUAACUGGGAAAGUGCACUUGAAACUAACUUACUUGAGUACUGGAGAGGUAAGCGGAAUUCCUAGUGUAGCGGUGAAAUGCGUAGAUAUUAGGAAGAACACCGGUGGCGAAGGCGGCUUACUGGACAGAGACUGACGCUGAGGCGCGAAAGCGUGGGGAGCGAACAGGAUUAGAUACCCUGGUAGUCC